AACUGGCUACGUAUUUGAAAAAGAAAACGUUAGACCCGUAUCUCACACAACCCCAAACAAAAUUCCCGCGGAUUAAAGGGCUAACCACCUGUGAUGGAGUGAAUGCUGAUGUGUCCCCCCAAAAUUCCUGUGUUGAAGCCUCACCCCCAGUGACACGGUAUCAGGAGAGGGAGCCUUCGUUACGUUAGCCAGGAAUCCCACCCUCACCAGGAACCUGACCAUGCUACACGGUGAUCCAAGACUCCCAACCUCCAGAACCGUGGGAAGUAAGUUUCUGCUGUUUAAGCCCCACAGUCUAUGUUAUUUUGUUCUCAGCCCCGGCUGACGAGAACGCCAUUAGAACAUCAGAAGCCACAGCCAUAGAAGGACAGACGAGACGCUGAAGUUUGUUUUAACCGUCUUGCCAUAAGAAAUACCCUAUAAGUCACAUCUGAGACUCAGGCGUCCUAAGAAAGGGGGGUGUGGACACUGCCCCCAGCACCUCUUGUGGCCGGGCUGGGUGACAGGCACACAGGAACUCAUGGCACUCGUCUCAUAACCAUUGUUCACAUUAAACGUGCACCAAAAUUUACAACAGAACACCAUCGACAAAGCUAAAAGGCAGGCAAUGGAUGGAAGAAACCAUUUCCAAACUACCAACAUGGUGUCCCAACAGGAAAAGACUAACUACUGGGCAAAAGAUGCGGUUAAACAAGUCACAGAAGAACCCACAGGUACCGCUCCUGCAGAAGCUGGCGACUCUGCCGACACCGUCAGCAUGACGCAGAGGGGUCUCCUCCCCACACCCACAGCUCCGCGCAUCCUCCCCUGUGGGCCCGAGGUGGGCGUGUACUGAUUCAUCCCCACCUCUGUCUGCUCCUGAGAGCAGCGCCCUUCACAUCUGCGUCCUAGGCCCCACUAAACGCAGGACACGGAGGCCCUCGCAAACUUCUCGAAUGAAUGAACGAAUGAAGGUCGUUUUCAAGACCUCUGGCCCUUCCCCUCUUAGAAUCUCUAAAUCUCACACUUGCACUUGCUCUGGAGGGGAUGAAACAGACACUGCCAGGGCCCGGAGGUUUACGAUGUUUAUGCUGAGGCCCAGGGAGCUAUGCGGGCUCAGGAUCCAUGUGGAUUUGUUACCCUGAACUCAGCGGUCAGGGCCUGCUGGUGAAUCAGCAAAACCUCCGGCUGUGCUUCAUUCCAGGGAGGAAACCCAGCAGCCCCGUCCCCGUCUGCAUUUCCGCUGACGCUAUCACUGGAGAGGGAGACGAGGAGUCCUUGAAACCAGCCCUCCGAACAUAAAUAAGCAGCCGGGUUCAGUGAAGCACAUGACGCAGGCUUCACCUCUGCCAGCGUUUCCAUCCCAGAAAGUCCUGCGGGACAGAUUCUCACAGUCCCCAGUGAGCCCCAUCCAUGACCCCUGCUCGCCCCCCACGUUUCCCAGAUGACGGCAGCUGGAGAGCCUUCCUCCGACAGCGGCCCCAGGCCACGGAGAGGCGGCCCCGCAGAGAGCGGAUGUUUGUGAAGCUCCUCUUGGAGGGAAAGCUGCCCCCAACGCUGAACACUCCCGUCUCAAGGCACAGACAGGGGAGCGGUCACAAGCCGGCCAGUCCCUUUUACAGCCAAAAUCGGGGGCUCAGAACAUUCUUUAAUGAUUUCCGAGCCACCGAGUGCACUGGGCGGCCCCGUCUCUGUUUUCAUUCCCUGAGAUGUGGUGCUUUCUCUCCUGGAGCCCCGUGUUGGGGACGCUUCAACCGCAGGCCUUGCCUCCCUCCCACAGUGCUGAGGAAGGACAGGCCCUCCCUUCCCCAGGAAAGGCCAGGCUGGAGGAGCCCAGGUGUGGGGGGAAGUUCUGAGCUGGCAUUGUCACCCCCGGGUCUAGUAUCCCCACAGAGUGGACCCUGGCCCUGAGCCCAGGCUGUGCCUCCCCUAUGUGCAGCCGCUGGGAUGUGUCCAGGGCAGCACAGGAGGCAGGUGCCCAGGUACUCCCCUAGGCAGAAGCCUCGGGUUCUGUUCCAGGGCAGGUGGGCUGGCGUGGCCCUCGGGAGCACAGAGCCCUGACUGUAGCCCCCCAGAUCCCCACAGGCACCGGCCAGUCUCACCCAGGAGGGCAGGCCCUGCUGUGCUGCAGGCCCCCCGGGGCGCUGGUCCCCUCCCCCAUGCUGACCACACGUGGCUUCCUUGGGAUCAGCGCACCCCCAGGAAACCCUGGGCGCCUUCACGACUUGGUCACUUGGUGACCUGGGACCCUCGGGCGCCUGCUCCGUGCACAGAGCUGGCCAGGCUGUCCGUAGGGAAGUGUUGACUGGGGGCCCCAAGGCUCCUGCUAAGAAAUCCUUCUGAGCACGGCCUCUGGCUCUGGAGAACCAGAACUCCCUGCCCUGCCACUGACUCACAAAGUUGUCCCCUCCCUGUGCACUUCCAGGCACAAAAGCCAGGAUUUGAUUACUGGGGAACCGCAACGUGCAGGGGUGGAACUCCGCAAUGAGUCCAGAAACUCCAAACACGUGAACCUGGUAACUCACCUUGCAAACGGAGGAGCAGGCCUGCACAGGGUCCCUGGCGUUCGCUCUCUCGUCUCCUAGAAGAGUCCUCCUUGGGUCCUGAGCUCAGCGGUCCUCGGCCAGUCCACUCUCUGUCCUUCUUGCUGGCCAGCCCCCUUCCGCGAAGGGACAGCUCCCUCGUCUCCAUGGCAGGGUGGUCUCGGGGGACAGUGGCAACAUCCCCAACUGCCUUUCUCUGCUCUUCACUGCCGACCCUGCUCCCAGGGCCGCCCCCACGGGGCCAGGAGGCUCCGAGGUGGUGACAGGUAGAUGCUCCAGCUGUGCUGAGAACUGCCCAGCCUCUCCCCAUCUGCACGUCUCUCAGGAGAGGACCCACAUCCGGUCCCCACACAUCUACCCACUGUGGGUGUUCUGGCUGGGGUGCCUGUGACCCACAACUACCUCCGGCCCAGGGCUCACUCAGGGGGCUGGCGGCCUGGAGUGCCCAGACCUGACCCUGCUGAGUUCUGUGGGGACGGACGACACUCAGGGCCCAGCAGGGGUAGAAGGAUGGGCUCUAACAGGUGUGGCCCCAGGACCACAAGCUGCACCUGCUGCGUCUGAGCCCAAACAGGGCCUCCUUCCCCUCAGGUGAGGUUUUGCAGGGAGCUGGGCGGGGCACAGAAGAGCUGGGAGCAGGUCAGCAGUUGAAGAGUGGCUCCGGGAGGGGCCGCAGAGGCCCAGGGCCUGCUCUCAGGGGUCGCUGGGGACAGGAGAGGCUCCGACAGGGGCCGCCCAGUGUGCUCUUCUCUCAUGUGCUGGGGCCUCUCUCUUCAUUCCCUGCUGGAAACAUCCAUGCUGUGCUUGGCGGGGCUGCGUUUCCCCGUGGCACAGAGCUCCCAGGAAGGGCUCUCCUGCCCUCUCGUGGCGGCCUCGGGGCAGUGGCCUGUGGGGGCCGCCAGCCCCUCCUUCGCUGUGUGAGCCGCUGGUCACAGAAGACUGCGGUGCAGGGAAAGGGGCCACUUCCUGAUACUCAGGGACAGAUUUUCUUCUCUUGAGGAAAGCCUCAUAAGACCUCUUCCGGGUCAUUCCUGAUUAGGACUUUAAUCCAGGGGUCAACAAAAGACUCCCCAACCUGAAGGAGGCUGCCCAGGCAGGGAGAAGAAAGGUCAGAGCCCACGGAGAGGCAGAGGGGCGCCAGCCUGGAGUGCCCCCUGCUGCGGCGCCCGGCACGUGGCUCGCCUGCUCUCCCGCCUCUGUCACCUGGGAAGAAACGGUGGGCAGGGGGAGCAGGGGGAGCGCGCCCGGGGCCUGAAGCAAGGCCGGGCCUUCGCCAUGGACAAGUGACUUGGGCCUGCUGGAGACAGGGCAUGGACCGUGGCCUCUAGCGUUUGUCCAUCAUGUGGCAUUUCUGGGAGCUCGGGACUCCACUCUGACAGAGGAGAGAGGCCAUUUCUUUUACUGUCUCCUGUCUCUGAAGAGAAGGAUGAAGUAAAAGUUGAAAAACAACAGGAAUGAAGUCAGCAGCAAGACCAGCCGGUGCCACCGAUGACCAGGCCUGAGGUUAAAAGAUUACCCCCCCUCCCACUCUAACCACAUGUGAUCUCAAUCUAUCACGACCCUUUCACGUGGACCCCUUAGAGGUGUAAGCCCUUAAAAGGGCCAGGAACUCUGUUUUCGGGGAGCUCGGUUCUUGAGACGCGAGUCUGCCGAAGCUCCCGGCCGAAUAAAGCCAAAUCCUUCCUUAA
This 4210-nucleotide long non-coding RNA is filed under the name Homo sapiens (human). RNAcentral's name for it is "HSALNT0404637". Lineage: Eukaryota; Metazoa; Chordata; Mammalia; Primates; Hominidae. The record is from RNAcentral.